AGUGAUUUGAUAUUGUUUUGACUGUCAUCUGAUUUCUCAUAACCUUGUUUUUCAUGAAUGUUACUGUGUGUAUAAUAUUUAUGAUAGUGUAUCCUUUUGUAGUACAUCUAUUGCCUUCAUUAUCAAAGAUAAAUUGCUCUUUUCUCUGGAUAUAUUAUACGCUUGAGCAGCAACAAGAGAGAGAUCGUUCUUCAGUAUAUAUUUGAAUUCUGUGUCAUGCGGAAAGAUCAUUUUUCAGCUCUUUUCACAUCUUCCUUCUAAAUUAAUCAAAAAAUGUCUCUUCAUAAGCGGUGUUACUUUGCCUAAAGAAUUCCAGCCUAGUUCUUGCAUAUAUAUGCAUGUAAACAUUCACAGGGGUUGUACACCAGAAAGCAUAGACUACAGGUAAUCAUAUUCCAAGUAGGAAAUGUACAAGGAAGAAGACUUCAGAACUGUGACUUCUGAAGAAGGUUUUCCUGAAGGUUUUAAUAACGAUCACUCAUUUCGGUACUCCAUAUCAAGUAAGUACUCAGCACCGUAAGUAAGGAAUAUGCUCCUAAGUCUCCAAGACCCAUGUCUAAAGUUGUCAUAUGGGCAUCACCAUGCUGCAGCUUUUUAUGCCGCUAUUUGUUUUACAUUAGAAUGACUAUCACUGAUAUAAGGUGCAUUAGCAAUGCCAACAAUUUAUAGAUCAUUCUUUUUUUAUACUGACAUUCUGACCAAAGCAGGUGCAUCUCCAGGUAAGCAAGCAGUGUACACAGGAAUAACUGAUCUGAGAAGUACGGUUGUGGGAUUAGAUUAAGUAUGGCAGUGGUUUAUGAGGCGCAGUGCACUGGUAAUUCAGUGUGAUUUCUGAAUUGUGAAGUUUCUUGAAAAGUGCCUAGUAAUUACAUGCAAUGUGAGAAAUAUUACACUUUUUAAUACUCUAUAAGAAUACAGCACAGGGAGAACUGUAGAAAAUAAUGCACAACUUUAUCUGUCUUUAAACCUAUGGUAAUGAAAACAUGAACAAUUAGUCAUUCAACUGAAUGCUCUUUGUCAAAAUAUUAUUGAGAAAUCUAAGUACAAGACUUUAAGUAUUCUAACAAAACUUAGGGGUCUAUUUGUAAGCAUUUCUUUCAGCUGUGUGAGCAUACCUUGAUUUUACAGGCAUUACUGUUAUGGAUAGAUGAAUAGAAGUCUCUCUGUCCUAAUCAAAAACCUUUAAAAAUAUGCUUUGAGGUACACUGUCAUGAAGCCUAUUUCAGUGAAACAUUUGUCAUGAAAUUCUAUGUUAUAUUACAACUGUGAAAUGUUAUUGACACCUCUGGGGUUACACAAGUGUCAGUUUGUUUGGCAUAUUUCUUAUACUAUACCACAGAGGGAACAUGUAGACAAAGAGAAUACGCUGCUGUUUUAUAUUUUAAAAAAAUGUAAAAACCUGUGACAUCUGUAGGGGCUACAUUCUUUCUUACACAGAAGAAAAAAUUAUGUUCUGCAAAUUGAAAUUCAGAAUUCUGAUUGAUUCUUCCAUCAACACAGAUCUUUCUCCUUUUCAGGAGAGGUCUGAAGCAGAGUGGGAGGAGAAUUCAAGCAAACUGUUGUUUGGACUUCACUAAAUUCUCAGACAAAAUCAGAAUUCAGUCCUUCCAGUUUCAAUCCUGCUGAUUUCCAUUUGGUCCUUCAGAGCAUGUCUUCCACCAAAGUUUUGAAUCUUGGAGGACUUCUCAUCUAUUCACCUCUGAAUUCCUCUGAAGAAAAGUUUCAGGGGCAGAAGAAGAAAGUUUUCAUUUCCUAAUCUAUUAAUUUAUUUUCAUUAAUCUAUUUAAUCUGUUAAUUUAAUCCACAUUUACUGUGCUUUCCCAUCUAAUUCCUUGGUCAGCAGCGAUGAACUUUUGAGGAACAGAGAAAAGGAGGGAGCUUCUGUCAAGUAAGAAAAAUGUGGGACGAUAUGUCCUCUAGUGCUUUCUCAGGAUGCUUGCAAGUCAUUUACAAAGAGGCAGUCUUAUUCUCCUCCUGAGAAAAAGGACCAAAUACUGUUUAUUGUUGCUUGUCAUUGCCUCAAAAUUGUUAAAUAAGCUCUGAACUGUGACAUCUCCAAUGCAUAAGAAAAUUGUGUUCAUGGUAUAUCUGGUGGGCAUGCUGAUAGAGAGCAUUCCCAGGGAUGGGCCUGCUGGUCCUGAGCACUGCCAGUGGUUCAGUGCUGAUGCAGGGGAGUUUUACAAACAGAGAAAGAAGUGAUAAGAAAGGAUAAAAUUUACAGCUGAAACUUUUGAUUCAGUUUAAGGAACACAGGAAAACUCAAACUCACAAGACAUAAGAGAUUCUUAUUUUUACUUUAGUUGUAAAUGCUGUCUGCUCCUUAAUAAAGGUAGCUGAGUCUCAGCUAUUCAGAGUAUUUGACAAAAGAAGAAAUGGCGUUUAUGCCAAGAACAAUAAGAGAUAACUCAGGAUGUCCCUUCUGAAGGUUCCUUACAGCAUCUUUUUAAUUUUUGUCUACCUGAAUUAAGGAGCAUUUAUCUGAAGCAAUGCCUUUAAACAGUAAAGCUGCCCCUGGGCAACUUCAACUUGAUCAAAUUGCUGUACUGAAAAGAGAAUUUUAAGUCUAUUCUAGCUUAAGUUCACCUCUUACCUUUCCCCCCCUACUUUUUAAACCUUGUCACAUUAUAUUUUAAUCAAAUUCUGAAUGUUUCAACAUAACCAGCUGCGUAGAAGGAAUAUGCAUUACACACAGGUACCUUUAUGUCUCUUGCACAUCUUCCUCUAUCCAGACCUUAUUUUUUCCUUUAUAUACUGAACUGCACCUUGACGUCUUCUUUGCCAAGAGGAGGAAGAAGGGCAUAAAUAGCCCUCGACCACCCAGAGAGGCAGUUCACACAUUCAGGCCUAGGUGUCUCACCUGCUCAUCUAAUGAUACAUUGUGCAGCAAAAUGGAGGUCUCAGGUCUCUUUGUUUUCCUGCAACUUUCUUACUGCACUCCAGGGCAACUAUUUUCUGAAGAUCCUUGCUUGGAAGCCAACCUUUACCUUGACCCCUUGAGGUCUUGGUGCAGUUAGUCCUGAGAACAGAGUCAAGGAUGUAGAUGUAGCAACUACUUCCCUGGGUACUUUGACUCUGACCAGUGAUUUGCAGAGCACGGAGAGGCUUAACUCUUCACAUAAAUCCAUUCUGAGGUGGGGAGUUCAGCCUUCCAAGGAAAAUGAAACAAGAUAAAAGUGAGUUACAGACAGCUAGAACAACUUUUUCAAAACACAAUCACAUUUAGUAGUGCCUCUGAAUUACAAACAAACAGCUCCAUUUCUUUCUGAAAAUUGUGAGGCAUUUCCCUCAGCAGCAAUAACCACUUCUAGCAAAUUUAAUUCCUGCUGCAUAUCUUCAGUGUUUCCCACUUUUGUCUCACUCUGUCUUGCUGUGAGCGCUACUUUUGUCUAAAAGCAAGUUUUGUGCCUGCGGUUCUUCUGACCCUCGUUCCUUGUGGGAUCAUUAUCUAAGAAUGGGUGUCCAGUCCUUUAUUAGUCCCGCUGGCUUUCUGAGGUAGAGAGGGUGGAGAUGGUCUGGUCGAAAUGUUCUUUAUAAAGCAGUCCGUUCUCUCCAGUGCCAAGGAUAAGUUGUAAACAGCACAGAAUGGUGGGGAAACUGAGCAAAUUAAAAGUAGUCUCAUGUAGUCCAAAAUAUAGUCAAAGUAUCAGUAGUGCAGAACCUGAUUCUGGUGUCUAUUAAACCAUGCUUUACAGAAGGCCUGAGGUUGGAAGUGACCUCUAGAGGUCACCUGGUCCAACCCCCCUGCUUAAGCAGGGCCAUCCAGAACCAGUUGCCCAGGACCAUGUCCAGGAAGCUUUUGAAUAUCUCCAAGGAUGGAGACUCCACAACCGCUCUGGGCAACCUGCACCAGUGCUCAGUCACCCUCACAUAAGGGUUUAUGCCCUUAUUUUAUAAAAUACAAGGAAAGACUUAAAAGUUCUCUGGUCUGUUGAUGAAAAAAUAAAACUCACUAAAAUCACAAAAAAUCAUUAUAUUAGAAAAUAUAUAUUGUGACAGUAUGGGAAACUAACAUUUUUUAAAUAGGCAGCUUUUUAUUUGUUUAUUUGCUUUUCAUUACAGUUAUUGCUAUAGUCAAACUGUAAACUGAUGCUAGGGGUAUACAAUAGGAUUUUCACUGUUCUAGUCAAGAUUCGUUUGAUGUGUUUACUGGGCUUGAGGGAAUAACAUAGCUCAUGCUUAAGUGGAACUUUCAGUUUCAUAAACAGCUAAUUGAGUGAAGUGCAUUUAUCAUACGUUUGAAACUGAGACUGCCAUGAGUGCAUCUUGGGGGAAAAAAAAAGAAUUGCUUGAAUUAAGUAUCCAGUUCUACUAAUUUGCUAAUAUGCUAGAAGAUAAUUCAGACUGUGUUUAUACAUGUAUUUCUGCAAAAUAUAAUGAUUUUUUUUCUGAAUAUUAGAAUGAGCAAGAAAUGAGCUUCUCUGUGCUUCUAGGAAAGUUAUAAAGUUAAUCUCUGAAUAAAUUCUCUCUGGACACUAAUGCAAUAGUAUAAUACACCACCUCUUAUACAAGAAUGAGCAAACAUUUUCAUUAGUUUGUUUAUCACAGGAACACAGACAUAUUGGUCAGAAGGGAACUUCGGAAGCCAUGUUGUCCAACUGCCCAUUUCAAGUAGGACUGUCGCUAACCCUGGAUCAGAUCAGCUUUUUUGCAUCUUUCACCUGCUCUGGUUCCAGCACAGCAUUACCCUGCCUUUGAGAGAGGGAUUUCCUGAUGCCCAGUCUGAACCCUCCAAGCCACUGUUUCUGGCUGUUGCUCACUGUUCUGUCAUCUCACAGUAACCAGAGUUGAGCUCCAUGCUUUAACCUCCUCUUCUCCAAAGUAAACAAGCCCAGCACUCUCAAGUCUCCCUGGACGUCACAUGUUGUAGGCCACUGACUGUUUGUACCUGCUCCCUUGUUUCAUCAUCCCUUAUGAAGUACCCAAAAGUGUGUCCCAGGUGCAGCCUCUCCAGCUCUGAGUAGAGUAGUGAUAAUAACUUCUCUCGAUCAAGUGGCUACAUUCCUCCUUAAUAUAGUAGUCAGUUUGCCUUAUUGAUGGCAGGAACACCUUCAUCCAGUUAUCAGCCAGGUAACUCCAUCCCAUCAAAACCCAGUGCACAAUGUAACUCCCAGAUCCUUUUCCUCAGUCAGCCAUUCCACAGCCUGCAGUGAUGCAUGAAGCUGUUCUGCACCAGGUGUGAAACUUUGCACAUUUCCUUGUCCAGCUUCCUGAAGCUUCUGCUGACUCAGUCCUCAAGUUUAUCAGGGUCCUUCUGGUUUAAUGCUCUACUAUUCAGUGUGUCAAACUGCUUUUUGUUUGUCCACAUAGCCAGUCAUUUCAUCUUGAUGAUGGUGACAGUAGGGUUGAAUGUUCAUGGGAAAGAGUCAGGGUAAAGGCCAGCAAGGCAGAUAUCAUAGUGGGAGUCUCUUACAGACCACCCAGCCAGGAUGAAGAGGCAGUCCACCUUGGACUUCCAGAGGGCAGACUUUGGACUGUUUAGGGGACUGGUUGGCAGAGUCCUUUGGGAGGCAGUCCUGAAGGGCAAAGGAGUCCAGGAAGGCUGGACAUUCUUCAAGAAGGAAAUCUUAAAGGUGCAGGACCAGGCCAUCCCCACGUGCUGGAAGACGAGCCGGCAGGGAAGAAGACCAGCCUGGCUGAACAGAGAGUUUUGGCUGGAACUCAGGGUUAAAAAGGAGAGUUUGUGGCCUUUGGAAGAAGGGGCAGGCAACUCAGGAGGACUACAAGCAUGUCGUGAGGUUAUGCAGGGAGAAAAUUAGAAGGGCCAAAGCCCAGCUAGAACUUAAUCUGGCUACCUCCAUAAAAGACAAUAAAAAUGUUUCUACAAAUACAUUAGCAACAAAAGGAGGGCUAAGGAGAAUCUCCAUCCUUUAUUGAAUGCAUGGGGAAACACAGUGACAAAGGAUGAGGAAAAGGCUGAGGUACUUAAUGCCUCCUUUGCCUCAGUCUUUAAUAGCAAGACCAGCUGUUCUCUGGGUACCCAGCCCCCUGAGGUGGAAGACAGGGACAGGGAGCAGAAUGAAGCCCUCGUAAUCCAAGGGGAAAUGGUUAACAACCUGCUACACCACUUAGAUACACACAAGUCUAUGGGGCCAGAUGGGAUCCACCCAAGGGUACUGAGGGAGCUGGCAGAAGUGCUCACCAAGCCUCUUUCCAUCAUUUAUCAGCAGUCCUGGCUAACCAGGGAGGUGCCAGUUGACUGGAGGUUAGCCAAUGUGACACCCAUCUACAAGAAGGGCCAGAAGGAAGAUGUGGGGAACUACAGGCCUGUCAGUCUGGCCUUGGUGCCAGGGAAGGUUAUGAAGCAGAUCAUCUUGAGUGCCAUCACCUGGCAUGUACAGGGCAACCAGGUGAUCAGGCCCAGUCAGCAUGGGUGUAUGAAAGGCAGGUCCUGCUUGACUAACCUCAUCUUCUAUGACAAGGUGACUCGCUUAGUGAAUAAGGGAAAGGCUGCGGAUGAUGCCUACCUGGACUUUAAUAAAGCCUUUGACACCAUUUCCCACAGCAUUCUCCUGGAGAAACUGGCUGCUCACGACUUGGAUGGGUGUAUGCUUUGCUGGGUAAAAAGCUGGCUGGAUGGCCUUGCCCAAAGAGUUGUGGUGAAUGGAGUUAAAUCCAGUUGGCAGCUGGUCACAAGUGGUGUUCUCCAGGGCUCUGUACUGGGGCCAGUUCUCCUUAAUAUCUUUAUCAAUGAUCUGGACGAGGGGAUCAAGUGCACCCUCAGUAAGUUUACAGACGACACCAAGUUGUGAGGGAGUGUUGAUCUGCUUGAGGGUAGGAAGGCUCUGCAGAGGGAUCUGGACAGGCUGGAUCAAUGGGCUGAGGCCAACUGGAUGAGGUUCAACAAGGCUUAGUGCCGGGUCCUGCACUUGGGUCUUAACAACCCCAUUCAACACUACAGGCUUGCGGCAGAGUGGCUGGAAAGCUGCCCAGCAGAAAAGGUGAGGCCACACCUCGAGUACUGUGUUCAGUUUUGGACCUCUGACUACAAGACAGAUAUUGAGAUGCUGGAGUGCAUCUGCAGAAGAGCAAUGAGGCUGAUGAAGGGUCUAGAGAGCAAGUCGUAUGAGGAGCAUCUGAGGGAACUGAGGUUGUUUAGUCUGGAGAAAAGGAGGCUGAGGGGACACCUUAUUGCUCUCUACAACUACCUGAAAGGAGGUCAUAGCCAGGUGGGUGUUGGUCUCUUCUCCCAAGUAGCAAGUGAUAGAAUGAGUGGAAAUGGCCUCAAGUUGCACUGGGGGAGGUUUAGAUUGGAUAUUAGGAAAAAUUUCUUCACUGAAAGGGUUAUCAAGCAUUGGAACAGGCUUCCCAGGGAAAUGGUUGAGUCACCAUCUCUGGAGGUAUUUUUUAAAAGACGUGUAGAUGUGGUACUUAGGGACAUGGUUUAGUGGUGGGCUUGGCAGUGUUAGGCUAAUGGUUGGACUCAAUGAUCUUAAAGGUCUUUUCCAACCUAAAUGAUUCUAUGAUUCUAGAAUUCUAUGAUCAUAGAAGGCAUGCCUUUGUUAUCCUUUAUUAGAAAUUUGCCUGCAUUGAAUAACUGACUUAUAUUAGUCAGUUCUAAAUCAUUUACAGGUUUCUUAGUAUAUAUUUUAUGUUUUCUCUGUUAUGAGUAUGAUUUCUUUCUUCAUAAUUAUGAGGCUUUGAUAACCAUGCAUUUCUCUGAACAAGUAUUACAGUUAAGCUCAGUUGAUGAUUGUCAUCAGGAGCAAAAUGCAGACUUAGUCACCACCUUCUUAAAUCUCCGCAAGCGUGUGAUGUCAGUGGAUUUCAGCUGCCUCCUGCAAAGACAAACAGAAAUAAAUACUGGAAUGCACAUGUCUGUUGGUAAGAAGUUACUCUGUUUUGUGGGUUUUGUGCCAAGUGACCACCAUUAUAUACAUCACUGUAAAGCAUUGCUGUGAAGUAGAGUUAGUGAGCUGUGGAGUCUCCAGCACUGCAGGUAUGGAAAAGGAAGUUAGACAAGCAUCAGCCCAGAAUUCACCAUGAAUCUUAGUUUGUCACAUUUAACUAUAUAUUCCAAGUUAGAUAGAAGUAUAAUGAGACCAUAGAAAGAUUUAGUAAGGAUAGAGAGUCAUAGUGAAAACAAUGCUGAAUGAGGCUGAUAAUUGAGUGCUUUACUGAAGCAUACCACACUGCUAAGACUUCAGUGUGAGCACAUUUCAGGGAGAACAAGAACAAAAGUACAUAGUAAUACAUGUAGUUGCUGCAGUUACUACAUAAGUAUUCACUCAUUAAAAUAAUACAGAAAAACAACAACUCAGUGUUAGACUGGAAUGCAAGAGGAUGAGUAAACACUUGUUGUGGAAAGGAUGCCCCCCUAAAAAGUUCAAGCGUGAGCCAUAUGCAUACCCUCUGCAGGAGACCUCAGAAUAAGCAUUAAAGGGGUUCCAAUGCAUGAAAUAGUUUAAAGGACUUCAAAAGUUUGGACCUCAUAAUUGUUCUCAGGAUAUUUUAUUACAUUUGUGUUUGUGCUUUUCAAGGCAAAUUUGGACCAGUAGUUUGCAGCUGCUGCACUACAUUCAGAAUUCUGCAGAAUCUCACUUUGGAUCCCUAGUUGUAUCUAUGUGUUUAAAUCCAAGAGCAGGAGAAACAGCGGAGAAGAGUGAAAAACAAAGUCACAGUGGGGAAAGAACAUGCGUGGAACACCGUUUGCCGUCAAGCAUGAUCAUCCAACGCCGUCAAGGAUAGCAUUUAUCUAAGCCUUACAGUAGACUGGUGAAUAGAGUGGUUACUCCAAUAGCAUGUAGUUUUUUUCAUGUUUAAAAAAAAAUGGAGAUUCA
Grus americana (Whooping crane) is the source of this 8777-nucleotide long non-coding RNA. RefSeq lists it as uncharacterized. The transcript has 4 exons. The record is from RefSeq and is a predicted model, not a curated record. Lineage: Eukaryota; Metazoa; Chordata; Aves; Gruiformes; Gruidae.